RNAcentral lists this small nucleolar RNA (145 nucleotides) under Meriones unguiculatus (Mongolian gerbil). RNAcentral's name for it is "Small nucleolar RNA SNORA17 (ENSMUGG00000020553.1)". It matches the Rfam family "Small nucleolar RNA SNORA17". From Rfam's summary of the family: snoRNA ACA 17 belongs to the H/ACA family of snoRNAs and is predicted to guide pseudouridylation of the 28S rRNA at positions U4659 and U4598. Lineage: Eukaryota; Metazoa; Chordata; Mammalia; Rodentia; Muridae. The record is from RNAcentral.
UAUGUCCAAUAACCACUUAUAAGUGAGUAUAUACCAUGUGGAUAAUGUGUCUCGGGUGUUUCAGUAUGUGACAUAGCAGAGAGAUGCUAUGCCUAUGUUCAAUGUUUUGGCCUAUGAACAUCUGAAUGAUUAAUACCUUAACGUU